UUAAAAUGAGAGUUUGAUCCUGGCUCAGGACGAACGCUGGCGGCGUGCCUAAUACAUGCAAGUCGAACGAAACUUUCUUACACCGAAUGCUUGCAUUCACCGUAAGAAGUUGAGUGGCGGACGGGUGAGUAACACGUGGGUAACCUGCCUAAAAGAAGGGGAUAACACUUGGAAACAGGUGCUAAUACCGUAUAUCUCUAAGGAUCGCAUGAUCCUUAGAUGAAAGAUGGUUCUGCUAUCGCUUUUAGAUGGACCCGCGGCGUAUUAACUAGUUGGUGGGGUAACGGCCUACCAAGGUGAUGAUACGUAGCCGAACUGAGAGGUUGAUCGGCCACAUUGGGACUGAGACACGGCCCAAACUCCUACGGGAGGCAGCAGUAGGGAAUCUUCCACAAUGGACGCAAGUCUGAUGGAGCAACGCCGCGUGAGUGAAGAAGGUCUUCGGAUCGUAAAACUCUGUUGUUAGAGAAGAACACGAGUGAGAGUAACUGUUCAUUCGAUGACGGUAUCUAACCAGCAAGUCACGGCUAACUACGUGCCAGCAGCCGCGGUAAUACGUAGGUGGCAAGCGUUGUCCGGAUUUAUUGGGCGUAAAGGGAACGCAGGCGGUCUUUUAAGUCUGAUGUGAAAGCCUUCGGCUUAACCGGAGUAGUGCAUUGGAAACUGGAAGACUUGAGUGCAGAAGAGGAGAGUGGAACUCCAUGUGUAGCGGUGAAAUGCGUAGAUAUAUGGAAGAACACCAGUGGCGAAAGCGGCUCUCUGGUCUGUAACUGACGCUGAGGUUCGAAAGCGUGGGUAGCAAACAGGAUUAGAUACCCUGGUAGUCCACGCCGUAAACGAUGAAUGCUAGGUGUUGGAGGGUUUCCGCCCUUCAGUGCCGCAGCUAACGCAAUAAGCAUUCCGCCUGGGGAGUACGACCGCAAGGUUGAAACUCAAAGGAAUUGACGGGGGCCCGCACAAGCGGAGGAGCAUGUGGUUUAAUUCGAAGCAACGCGAAGAACCUUACCAGGUCUUGACAUCCUUUGACCACCUAAGAGAUUAGGCUUUCCCUUCGGGGACAAAGUGACAGGUGGUGCAUGGCUGUCGUCAGCUCGUGUCGUGAGAUGUUGGGUUAAGUCCCGCAACGAGCGCAACCCUUGUUGUCAGUUGCCAGCAUUAAGUU
Molecule: ribosomal RNA, 1162 nt
Filed under: Pedobacter miscanthi
Lineage: Bacteria; Pseudomonadati; Bacteroidota; Sphingobacteriia; Sphingobacteriales; Sphingobacteriaceae
Description: bacterial SSU rRNA
Rfam family: Bacterial small subunit ribosomal RNA
Source: RNAcentral